UACGUAGGGCGCAAGCGUUGUCCGGAAUUAUUGGGCGUAAAGAGCUCGUAGGCGGCUUGUCACGUCGGGUGUGAAAGCCCGGGGCUUAACCCCGGGUCUGCAUUCGAUACGGGCUGGCUAGAGUGUGGUAGGGGAGAUCGGAAUUCCUGGUGUAGCGGUGAAAUGCGCAGAUAUCAGGAGGAACACCGGUGGCGAAGGCGGAUCUCUGGGCCAUUACUGACGCUGAGGCGCGAAAGCUGGGGGAGCAAACGGG
RNAcentral lists this ribosomal RNA (253 nucleotides) under uncultured bacterium. Its description in RNAcentral is "partial 16S ribosomal RNA". It matches the Rfam family "Bacterial small subunit ribosomal RNA", at positions 524 to 776 of the family's 1533-position model. The record is from RNAcentral.